This is a long non-coding RNA of Pezoporus flaviventris, 2395 nucleotides long. RefSeq lists it as uncharacterized. The transcript has 2 exons. The record is from RefSeq and is a predicted model, not a curated record. Lineage: Eukaryota; Metazoa; Chordata; Aves; Psittaciformes; Psittacidae.
AAGCUGCUCACCCUUUUCUGCAGGAUGGAGCCCAAACCCACAGGCAGGCUUCCUUGGGUUUUGUAAGGUUUGACCUACAAGGGACUGGUAGAGUCUGUAAGGCCGUUGUGGAUGUGUCCCUAAUGUGCAGAUCAUCUUUCUCACAAUGCAUUGAAUAAUUUCUGAGCUGGAAGAGUGGAGAGAGCCUGUGCCUGGGAACCAGGCGAGCCACCCCCUCUCGGUGUGUACUGGUUUAUGUCCUGCACUGUUCUUAUGGGCUCUAGUCCUACUGUGAAUUCCACUGACAGCAGUAAAACACUGACAACUCCCCCAGGUGGACCUGAGCAGGAUCAGAGCUCUUGGGAGAUGAAAGCAAGUCCGAUGGUGCGAAAGAUGUAUUUUCUCUUAUCCCAAAAUAAGAGAAGCCUCCUUUUGCCCUAGACACGAUUAUUGCAAGUGCAACAGGUCAAUGUAGGUUCCAGCCCUGUAAGAGGAUGCACCAGUUAAUGCAGCAAACUUCAGAAAUUCCCUUUCCUUUCUCUGAGGUCACUUUAAUCCCUUGAGUGUCCAGAGAUUAAAAGAUAUUUGAUGAACAUCCUAAACAUUCAUUGCACAUUUCCGGUAUCCAGCUGACCUCAAAUCCUGAAUGCAAUGAAUUUGCAUUUGCUUCUAAAAGUGUCUCAUUUUGUGAAUCAAACUGUCAUCACAUUUGAAAAUGAGACAUUUGUAUCUCUUGGAGUUUAAACUGCGGGAUCAAUUUCCCAUUAAUACUAAGGGUGUUUAAAGGACAAAUUCUCUGCCUACUGCAGUGAAAAUUUACCCCGAGGUAUGACAUUUCACCUGCCACCGAGUAUAAGAGGGCUGAAUAUAAUGGACUGGAAUAGCUAGAUUUGCACAUGCUGGUAACAAAAGCGGGUGAGCAGUGGAGGAUCCCAUUACAGAAAACCUUUCCUAUUUGUUUUCUCCUCCUCUUUUUUCAGCCUUCAAAACUUGCAUGCUCUUUGCAGUUUAUAGAACCGCACUGCACUAUUCAAUAGCCUGUGCCUGAAUUGUCACAGUUUAAUCAUGUACCAUAUGAGUGGAUAAAGAUAGCCCUGAAGAGCUUCCACUCAGAAGGGCAUGAAGAAAUGGGAGCACCAGGGUACAUACCAAGCCUCAGAGCUGAGCAGCAGCCACACAGCCUGGCUCCAGCUUCACCAGUUCCUGUGCAGGACUGCAGAGCUACGAGUCCCAUCACAUGCUCUUCUGGUCACAGCUAUGCUGAUGGGCAGGGCUUUGCCACAGCUUGGCUCUGCUCCUCGGUGUGUCUCCAUCCUGUGUUAGAAGAGAGGAGGAGGACAGUUGGCACGCCUCAACCCCCUCCUCCUCAAUGAAAUAUGGAGGCAACUGGAGCGAGCCAGCAGCAAGCUAAAGCACACAGAAUAGCUGCAGAUAAUGUGAACCCAGGGGCAUGGUGAACCUGAGCCUCUGCUGAGGCAUGUUUCCCUGAGGAAGUGCCAACAUAACCUCGGAAAACAUACCAUGGAAUUGCACCAUACUGUCCCUCCCUUGUGCUAUCAUGGAAACCAGAUGCCAGGAUGGAAAAGCACCAGGAGCUGAAUAUAAAAGCUUCAAGUGUCAGAGAGCCCUGCUCAGCCCUACCUUCUGCUGCAGGCCAUCUAUGCUUCCUGGCAUUCCCUGGUCUCUUGCCAAUUCCCAUCAACAGCUGUGGUUUGUGGUUGUAAUGCUCAGCAUUUGUCUUCUCUUUCUCCUAGCAGACCUGCAUCAAAGCUGGAUGUGCAGCAUGUAGCAGUUUGGGAGUCCCAGAAUUGGCCUCCAAGCACAAAACCAAAUCCUUCCUUACUGCUUUAUCUUCCCCAAAGUCUGAGAUGCUGCAAGAGUGGGUCUGUAACUCUUCCAGGCCCUCCCGAUGGACUGUGUGAGGAAAGGACAACAUAAGGUUGGUAAGAGACAACAGCAUCAUUGGGUGGAAAAGCUGUGCUUCAGGGGGAAGGUUUUCAAAUGUUCUGCAUUGAACAAAUUAAAGAUUUAUUGCAGAAUAAACCUGCAGCCAUUCCUUCUCCCUGACAGUCACUCUAUUGUAAUUUCAUCCCUUUGCAGCCUUUCCAAACCCAUCCAUUUCUUCUGAAACUUUUGUCCAAGCCCGCGUUUGACACGAGGUCUUUUCCUGCACUAAGGUCUCCUGCUCUGCCGUAUUUCAUGGUAGCCAUUCAGCCUUCCAGUGGGGACACAUGCCCCCUCUUUGCCAUCUGGCCACAUUCAAGUCCUCAGAGUGCAGUCCCCUCUGUGCUAAACCCACGCUUGUCACACUCAUCUGCAAAGCCUCUCACAAGCUCAGGGCCAGAGCCUGUCAUCUGAACGCACUGAGUUAUGCCUCAGGACAGAAGUGACCCCAUUAAAACCAUUUAGAAGCACA